This 794-nucleotide ribosomal RNA is filed under the name uncultured Burkholderiales bacterium. RNAcentral's name for it is "SSU rRNA". It matches the Rfam family "Bacterial small subunit ribosomal RNA", at positions 78 to 869 of the family's 1533-position model. Lineage: Bacteria; Pseudomonadati; Pseudomonadota; Betaproteobacteria; Burkholderiales. The record is from RNAcentral.
CUUCGGUCUGGUGGCGAGUGGCGAACGGGUGAGUAAUAUAUCGGAACAUACCCAGUAGUGGGGGAUAACUAUCCGAAAGGAUAGCUAAUACCGCAUACGAUCUGUGGAUGAAAGCAGGGGAUCUUCGGACCUUGUGCUAUUGGAAUGGCCGAUAUCUGAUUAGCUAGUUGGUAGGGUAAAAGCCUACCAAGGCGACGAUCAGUAGCUGGUCUGAGAGGACGACCAGCCACACUGGAACUGAGACACGGUCCAGACUCCUACGGGAGGCAGCAGUGGGGAAUUUUGGACAAUGGGGGCAACCCUGAUCCAGCAAUGCCGCGUGAGUGAAGAAGGCCCUCGGGUUGUAAAGCUCUUUUGUCAGGGAAGAAACGGAGUUCUCUAAUAUAGGAUUCUAAUGACGGUACCUGAAGAAUAAGCACCGGCUAACUACGUGCCAGCAGCCGCGGUAAUACGUAGGGUGCAAGCGUUAAUCGGAAUUACUGGGCGUAAAGCGUGCGCAGGCGGUUUUGUAAGUCUGAUGUGAAAUCCCCGGGCUCAACCUGGGAACUGCAUUGGAGACUGCAAGGCUAGAGUGUGUCAGAGGGGGGUAGAAUUCCACGUGUAGCAGUGAAAUGCGUAGAGAUGUGGAGGAAUACCGAUGGCGAAGGCAGCCCCCUGGGAUAACACUGACGCUCAUGCACGAAAGCGUGGGGAGCAAACAGGAUUAGAUACCCUGGUAGUCCACGCCCUAAACGAUGUCUACUAGUUGUCGGGACUUAAUUGUCUUGGUAACGCAGCUAACGCGUGAAGUAGAC